Molecule: ribosomal RNA, 481 nt
Filed under: uncultured bacterium
Lineage: Bacteria
Description: partial 16S ribosomal RNA
Rfam family: Bacterial small subunit ribosomal RNA
Source: RNAcentral
GACGAACGCUGGCGGCGUGCUUAACACAUGCAAGUCGAGCGAUGAAGUUCCUUCGGAAAUGGAUUAGCGGCGAGCGGGUGAGGAACACGUGAAGAAUCUGCCCUCCACUUUGGGAUAACACCGGGAAACCGGUGCUAAUACCGAAUAUUGAAACAUAAGUGGCAUCACUGAGUUUUGAAAGAAUUUCGGUGGAGGAUGACUUCGCGGCCUAUCAGCUAGUUGGUGAGGUAAUGGCUCACCAAGGCAACGACGGGUAGCCGGCCUGAGAGGGCGACCGGCCACACUGGGACUGAGACACGGCCCAGACUCCUACGGGAGGCAGCAGUGGGGAAUAUUGGGCAAUGGAGGAAACUCUGACCCAGCGACGCCGCGUGCGGGAUGAAGGCCUUCGGGUUGUAAACCGCUUUCAGUAGGGAAGAAGCGAAAGUGACGGUACCUACAAAAGAAGCACCGGCUAACUAUGUGCCAGCCGCCGCGGUAA